RNAcentral lists this transfer RNA (72 nucleotides) under Trichonephila clavata. It matches the Rfam family "tRNA". Rfam says of the family: Transfer RNA (tRNA) molecules are approximately 80 nucleotides in length. Their secondary structure includes four short double-helical elements and three loops (D, anti-codon, and T loops). Lineage: Eukaryota; Metazoa; Arthropoda; Arachnida; Araneae; Nephilidae. The record is from Rfam by way of RNAcentral.
GUCCCUGUAGCGCAAUGGAUAAUGCGUUGGACUUCUAAUCCAAAGGUCGUGGGUUCGAAUCCCACUGGGAUG